CCUACGGGAGGCUGCAGUGGGGAAUAUUGGACAAUGGGCGAAAGCCUGAUCCAGCCAUGCCGCGUGUGUGAAGAAGGCCUUCGGGUUGUAAAGCACUUUCAGUGGGGAAGAAAGCCUUGGGGCUAAUACCCUCGAGGAAGGACAUCACCCACAGAAGAAGCACCGGCUAACUCCGUGCCAGCAGCCGCGGUAAUACGGAGGGUGCGAGCGUCAAUCGGAAUUACUGGGCGUAAAGCGCGCGUAGGCGGUCUGAUAAGCCGGUUGUGAAAGCCCCGGGCUCAACCUGGGAACGGCAUCCGGAACUGUCAGGCUAGAGUGCAGGAGAGGAAGGUAGAAUUCCCGGUGUAGCGGUGAAAUGCGUAGAGAUCGGGAGGAAUACCAGUGGCGAAGGCGGCCUUCUGGACUGACACUGACGCUGAGGUGCGAAAGCGUGGGUAGCAAACAGGAUUAGAUACCCUUGUAGUC
RNAcentral lists this ribosomal RNA (465 nucleotides) under Vreelandella stevensii. Its description in RNAcentral is "partial 16S ribosomal RNA". It matches the Rfam family "Bacterial small subunit ribosomal RNA", at positions 338 to 795 of the family's 1533-position model. The record is from RNAcentral. Lineage: Bacteria; Pseudomonadati; Pseudomonadota; Gammaproteobacteria; Oceanospirillales; Halomonadaceae.